RNAcentral lists this ribosomal RNA (497 nucleotides) under uncultured bacterium. RNAcentral's name for it is "partial 16S ribosomal RNA". It matches the Rfam family "Bacterial small subunit ribosomal RNA", at positions 28 to 507 of the family's 1533-position model. The record is from RNAcentral.
GAUGAACGCUGGCGGCGUGCCUAAUACAUGCAAGUCGAGCGAACAGAUGAGGCGCUUGCUCCUCUGACGUUAGCCGCGGACGUGUGAAUCACACGUGGAUCACCUCCCUAUCAUACUGGUAUAACUUCGGGACACCGGCGCUAAUACCGUAUAAUCUAUUGCACCGCAUGGUUCAAUAGUGAGAUUCGGUUUUGCUGUCACUUCUAGAUGCAUACGCGCCGCAUUAUCUAGUUGGUAAGGUCACAGCUUACCACGGCUACCAUGCGUAACCGACCUGCGGGACGGGUCGCCCACACUAGAGCGGAGACACGGUCCUGACGCCUACGGGACGCAGCAGUAUGGAAUCGGCCGCAAUGGGCGAAAGCCUGACGGAGCAACGCCGCGUGAGAGAUGAAGGUCUCCGGAUCGGAAAACUCGGUUAUUAGGGAAGAACAAAUGUGGAAGGAACUAUGCACGUCUUGACGGUAACGAAUCAGAAAGCCACGGCUAACUACGUG